GAUGAACGCUAGCUACAGGCUUAACACAUGCAAGUCGAGGGGAAACGACAUCGAAAGCUUGCUUUUGAUGGGCGUCGACCGGCGCACGGGUGAGUAACGCGUAUCCAACCUGCCCAUCACUUGGGGAUAACCUUGCGAAAGUAAGACUAAUACCCAAUGAUAUCUCUAGAAGACAUCUGAAAGAGAUUAAAGAUUUAUCGGUGAUGGAUGGGGAUGCGUCUGAUUAGCUUGUUGGCGGGGUAACGGCCCACCAAGGGAACGAUCAGUAGGGGUUCUGAGAGGAAGGUCACCCACAUUGGAACUGAGACACGGUCCAAACUCCUACGGGAGGCAGCAGUGAGGAAGAUUGGUCAAUGGGAGAGAGCCUGAACCAGCCAAGUAGCGUGCAGGAAGACGGCCCUAUGGGUUGUAAACUGCUUUUAUAAGGGAAUAAAGUGAGAGUCGUGACUCUUUUUGUAUGUACCUUAUGAAUAAGGACCGGCUAAUUCCGUG
Molecule: ribosomal RNA, 492 nt
Filed under: uncultured bacterium
Lineage: Bacteria
Description: partial 16S ribosomal RNA
Rfam family: Bacterial small subunit ribosomal RNA
Source: RNAcentral